Molecule: long non-coding RNA, 1083 nt
Filed under: Homo sapiens (human)
Lineage: Eukaryota; Metazoa; Chordata; Mammalia; Primates; Hominidae
Description: HSALNT0020068
Source: RNAcentral
GGUGUGUGUGUGUGUUUGGAGGUGUGUGUGUUUGGAGGGUGUGUGUGUGUUUGAAGGACAUGUGUUUCGAGGGUGUGUGUUUGAAGGAAGUGUGUGUUAGGUGUGUGUGGAGGUGUGUGUGUGUGUUUGAAGGAGGGGUGUGUGUGUGUGUUUGGAGGUGUGUGUGUGUUUGAAGGAGGUGUGUGUUAGGUGUGUGUGUGUGUUUGGGGGUGUGUGUGUGUUUGGAGGCGUGUGUGUGUUUGGAGGUGUGUGUGUGUUUGGAGGUGUGUGUGUUUGAAGGAGGUGUGUGUUUGGAGGUGUGUGUGUUUGAAGGAGGUGUGUGUUAGGUGUGUUUGUGUUUGGAGGUGUGUGUGUGUUUGAAGGAGGUGUGUGUGUUUGGAGGUGUGUGUGUGUUUGGAGGUGUGUGUGUGGAGGUGUGUUUGGAGGUGUGUGUGUGGAGGUGUGUGUGUGUGGAGGUGUGUGUGUGUGUUUGGAGGUGUGUGUGUGGUGUGUGUUUGGAGGUGUGUGUGUGGAGGUGUGUGUGUGGAGGUGUGUGUGUGUGGAGGUGUGUGUGUGUGGAGGUGUGUGUGUUAGGAGGAGGUGUGUGUUGGGUGUGUGUGUGUUUGCAGGUGUGUGUGUUUGGAGGUGUGUGUGUGUUUGGAGGUUGUGUGUGGAGGUGUGUGUGUGUGUGGAGGUGUGUGUGUGUGCUUGAAGGAGGUGUCUGUGAUGUGAUCCCAAGAAAAGGAACCACGAGCACAGAUCCUGCCUUCAGGAAGCUCCCAGACUGAAGGAGGAGGCAUGGCCCCUGCCCUAAAAGAGUUCCCCUCUCCUGAUGCAAAGAAACACAGCUCCUGUCCACAAGGAACCCUGAAUCUGAUGAAGUAGAGCAUCACAAUCAGACAAACAUACAGACAGAUGGGGACACACACACCCUACAAAGACAUAGUGAACAUAAUACUACCUGGUAUUUUCACAGGAAAUAAAAUCGCACCCCCUCUGUGCUAAACACCCCCCAAGGAGGAUCUUGCUUCAUGCAACAACUCACCGGGCAGAGAUGAUUAUUGACACUUGACAAACAAGUGUCAACCUUGGUCUUCCCAUUCC